RNAcentral lists this long non-coding RNA (208 nucleotides) under Elaeis guineensis (African oil palm). RNAcentral's name for it is "long non-coding RNA (EGUI_LNC013213)". Lineage: Eukaryota; Viridiplantae; Streptophyta; Magnoliopsida; Arecales; Arecaceae. The record is from RNAcentral.
CAGCAUCUUUGUGGCUUCUAAAGUGACAUCAGAUGGACUUGAAGGAUUGCUACUUCUAUUGCUCUAGAAAGCAACAGGUUCAGACCAUCUAGUUGAUAAAAAUUCAAUCAAACUGGGUGUUUUGUAGCUCAAUCUUGAUUAACACAAAAAUGCAAUCAUUAUUGGAUGAACUAGAAGGGGCAUGUCGGUAUCAUAAUAGAUGAGGGAG